AGUGAUGGGAGACCCUACAAUAACAAACCGCCUGGAGCUGAUCCGGGAGACCCUACGGUAAAUAAACACCUGGAGCUGCUUCAGGAGACCCUACAGUAAAUAAGACAACCCUACAAGUGAUGGGAGACCCUACAAUAACAAACCGCCUGGAGCUGCUUCAGGAGACCCUACAGUAAAUAAACACCUGGAGAUGCUCCAGGAGACCCUACGGUAAAUAAGAGUGAUGGGAGACCCUACAAUAACAAACCACCUGGAGCUGCUCUGGGAGACCCUACCAUAAAUAAACACCUGGAGCUGCUUCAGGAGACCCUACAGUAAAUAAACACCUGGAGAUGCUCCAGGAGACCCUACGGUAAAUAAGAGUGAUGGGAGACCCUACAAUAACAAACCGCCUGGAGCUGCUUCAGGAGACCCUACGGUAAAUAAGACAGUGAUGGGAGACCCUACAAUAACAAACCACCUGGAGCUGCUUCAGGAGACCCUACAGUAAAUAAACACCUGGAGCUGCUCUGGGAGACCCUACAGUAAAUAAACACGUGGAGCUGCUUCAGGAGACCCUACGGUAAAUAAACACCUGGAGCUGCUCUGGGAGACCCUACAGUAAAUAAGACAUCACUGCAAGUGAUGGGAGACCCUACAAUAACAAACCACCCGGAUCUGCUCCAGGAGACCCUAAAUUAAAUAAGCCAGCACUGCGAGUUCUGGGAGACCCUACAAUAACAAACCAACAAGAGCUGCUUGGGGAGACCCUACAAAAAUAAGCUACCACAACAAGCACUGGGAGACACUACAGUAACAAGCCACCAGGAGCUGUUUUGGGAAGACCCUACAAUAAUAACCCAGUAGGAACCCCCUCUGGGAGACCCUACAAUAACAAACCACCAGGAGCUGCUCCAGGACGACCCUACAAUAAACAAACACCAGGACCUGCCUGGGGAGACCCUAUAAAAAUCAGCCACCACAACAAGCACUGGGAGACCCUACAAUAACAAACCACCAGGAGCGGCUCCAGGGAGACCCUACAAUAAAUAAGGGAACCUCCACUGCGAGACCCUACAAUAACAAACCACCAGGAGCUGCUCCAGGGACACUCCACAAUAACAAACCAGCAGGACCCUCUCUGGGAGACCCUACAAUAAAUAAGGCUGCAGGGUCUGCUUUAUGAAGGUCCAAUGACAACAACCCACCAGGGCUCGUUGUUGGGAGACCCUACAAUAACAAACCACCGUGCCU
This is a long non-coding RNA of Oxyura jamaicensis (ruddy duck), 1233 nucleotides long. RefSeq lists it as uncharacterized. NCBI's taxonomy places the organism in Eukaryota, Metazoa, Chordata, Aves, Anseriformes, Anatidae. The record is from RefSeq and is a predicted model, not a curated record. The transcript has 4 exons.